This 191-nucleotide small nuclear RNA is filed under the name Jaculus jaculus (lesser Egyptian jerboa). RNAcentral's name for it is "U2 spliceosomal RNA (ENSJJAG00000005196.1)". It matches the Rfam family "U2 spliceosomal RNA". From Rfam's summary of the family: U2 is a small nuclear RNA (snRNA) component of the spliceosome (involved in pre-mRNA splicing). The record is from Rfam by way of RNAcentral. Lineage: Eukaryota; Metazoa; Chordata; Mammalia; Rodentia; Dipodidae.
AUCACUUCUCGGCCUUUUGGAGAAGAUCAAGUGUAGUAUCUGUUCUUAUCAGUUUAAUAUCUGAUACGUCCUCUAUCUGAGGACAAUAUAUUAAAUGGAUUUUUGGAGCUCGGCUUUGGAAUAGGAGCUUGCUCCAUCCACCCCAUGCAUCUACCUGGUAUUUCAGUACCUCUAGGAAUGGUGCGCCCUCU